ACAAGCUAAGUGAAAUUAACAUAUACUUGCAAACAUGUGGAGAAUAGAAGAAAUUGUGUAUGAAGAAAUCCUUACAAAAGGAUAAAUUAACUUUAAAAGAAAUUGUAAAUUGAUUUGAUAAAUGAAGAACUUUCCAAUGUUUGCUUUAUUAANUUUAGNAAAUUUAGUUUUGCUGAAACAGUUAAAAAUAGUUUUGUAAAUAGUUUUAAUAUACUACUUAAUAUUAAGUAAACUAUUUAAUAGUUUGAUAUGCUAAAUUAAAGCUUUGGGUUCAAAGAGCAAUACAUUGUAUAUUAGCCAGUGGUUGCUGCAUCCUUCUAUAUUAGAUUGUACUGAGUGCUGAUUUUUAUCACAAAGGUGCCUGUGACUGGUAACUUUCGCCUCAAGAAAUUUAAUGAAUCCAGUCUUAUGCCUCACAAAAUUUAAUAAAUAUUUAGUAAAAACUUUUAAAGUGAUUAUUNAUGAGGUAUUAAAGUAUAUUUUGUAAGGAACACCAUUGUGUUUGAGUAGGAUGAAAUUGGGACAGUGUGAUUACAAUAGAAGGAAAUAGCAAAAGUGUUGUUAGCAUUAAUUAGGAAGUGUAUAAUAAUGAAAACUUGAAGAAUAGUUUAAUGGAGAAUUUGUUUGUUUAAACCCAGAAGAUUAUGGUUGGUAUACAAAUAGAGGCUCCUGGAUUCAAGAGGGGGAGAAAGGAAACGGCUUUUGCAGCAUGAAAUCAAUUAACAGGAAAGGAGUUGAGAGAGAAAAUACAGGAGAACUUAGAGCACAAGAUGCAAAAAGUUAAAGCAGCUUUAGCAGUCUUAAAAUUAGAAAAGGCUGAUCAUAGAAUAAAUUACAAUGAGAAAAGGAGGCUUCUUGGCUUAUGAACUUCUGUUUUUAUGUAUUUUAUGUCUUGAGACCUCAGGGUACAGGGUGGGAUGGAAAUGCAAUAAAUAAACAAGCAUCAAGCAAACGGGAAAUUCUGUUUGAAACUACAAUGAGACUGGAGUUUCCUGAGGAAUUUAUUCAACAGAAAGGGUUGGAAAAACGGCAGGGACUUUUCAUUGAACGACAAUGGAAUUUGGAACUUUACAGUUUGGAACGCAGAUCUGGUGGGACAAAGGCUACAUUGUUUUGUGAUGCACAUCCCAUGCCAUUUGUAAAAGCUGAGAAUUUCUGGAUGCCUACAUUCUAUUCGAAGAAGGUUUUAUGUCAUGGACUCGGCGUGUAUCCUAUAAAUGUAAAGGUGGAUGUCUUUCGUUGUGAGACAUGGGAAUUGGGAUUGGUAUGUCCUGAGAAUUAUGAACUAAUGGAACCUUGUGCUUUUAAUUUACAAGAUGGUAUUUGUCAUUUACAGAAGAUGCACAAUAGACAUAUUUGAUAGAUACUGGCAUUGGUUGUUUAU
RNAcentral lists this long non-coding RNA (1384 nucleotides) under Salvator merianae (Argentine black and white tegu). Its description in RNAcentral is "lncRNA (ENSSMRG00000006642.1)". Lineage: Eukaryota; Metazoa; Chordata; Lepidosauria; Squamata; Teiidae. The record is from RNAcentral.